CUCGGUGCCCAUGGCGUGAGGGAAACACCUGUUAUCAUUCCGAACACAGAAGUUAAGCCUCAUAGCGGCGAUUAUACUGCAAUAUGUGGGAAACUAGCACGGUGCCGAAU
This 110-nucleotide ribosomal RNA is filed under the name Candidatus Saccharimonadota bacterium. The record is from RNAcentral. Lineage: Bacteria; Candidatus Saccharimonadota.